AUUGAACGCUGGCGGCAGGCCUAACACAUGCAAGUCGAGCGGAUGAAGGGAGCUUGCUCCUGGAUUCAGCGGCGGACGGGUGAGUAAUGCCUAGGAAUCUGCCUGGUAGUGGGGGAUAACGUCCGGAAACGGGCGCUAAUACCGCAUACGUCCUGAGGGAGAAAGUGGGGGGUCUUCGGACCUCACGCUAUCAGAUGAGCCUAGGUCGGAUUAGCUAGUUGGUGGGGUAAAGGCCUACCAAGGCGACGAUCCGUAACUGGUCUGAGAGGAUGAUCAGUCACACUGGAACUGAGACACGGUCCAGACUCCUACGGGAGGCAGCAGUGGGGAAUAUUGGACAAUGGGCGAAAGCCUGAUCCAGCCAUGCCGCGUGUGUGAGGAAGGUCUUCGGAUUGUAAAGCACUUUAAGUUGGGAGGAAGGGCAGUAAGUUAAUACCUUGCUGUUUUGACGUUACCAACAGAAUAAGCACCGGCUAACUUCGUG
Molecule: ribosomal RNA, 484 nt
Filed under: uncultured bacterium
Lineage: Bacteria
Description: partial 16S ribosomal RNA
Rfam family: Bacterial small subunit ribosomal RNA
Source: RNAcentral